ACGGCUCAGUAACACGUGGAUAACCUACCCUUGGGACGGGCAUAAACCCGGGAAACUGGGUAUAAUUCCCGAUAGGUCUGGGAGGCUGGAAUGCACUCAGACUGAAAGCUCCGGCACCCAAGGAUGGGUCUGCGGCCUAUCAGGUAGUAGUGGGUGUAACGUACCUACUAGCCUACUACGGGUACGGGUUGUGAGAGCAAGAGCCCGGAGAUGGAUUCUGAGACACGAAUCCAGGCCCUACGGGGUGCAGCAGGCGCGAAAACUUUACAAUGCGGGCAACCGCGAUAAGGGGACCUCGAGUGCCGACAUCAAAUGUCGGCUGUCGUGAUGCCUAAAAAGCAUUAUAUAGCAAGGGCCGGGCAAGACCGGUGCCAGCCGCCGCGGUAACACCGGCGGCUCGAGUGGUGACCGCUAUUAUUGGGUUUAAAGGGUCUGUAGCCGGCCGGCUAAGUCUUUUGGGAAAUCUGGCCGCUCAACGGUCAGGCUUUCAGGAGAUACUGUCUGGCUCGAGGCCGGGAGAGGUGAGAGGUACUUCAGGGGUAGGGGUGAAAUCUUGUAAUCCUUGAAGGACCACCAGUGGCGAAGGCGUCUCACCAGAACGGACCUGACGGCAAGGGACGAAAGCUAGGGGCACGAACCGGAUUAGAUACCCGGGUAGUCCUAGCCGUAAACGAUACUCGCUAGGUGUCGGCCACGGUGCGACCGUGGUCGGUGCCGCAGGGAAACCGUGAAGCGAGCCACCUGGGAAGUACGGCCGCAAGGCUGAAACUUAAAGGAAUUGGCGGGGGAGCAC
Molecule: ribosomal RNA, 793 nt
Filed under: uncultured archaeon
Lineage: Archaea
Description: bacterial SSU rRNA
Rfam family: Archaeal small subunit ribosomal RNA
Source: RNAcentral